UACGUAGGGUGCAAGCGUUGUCCGGAAUUAUUGGGCGGAAAGAGCUCGUAGGCGGUUUGGCGCGUCUGCUGUGAAAACUCAGGGCUUAACCCUGAGCCUGCAGUGGGUACGGGCAGACUAGAGUGUGGUAGGGGAGAUCGGAAUUCCUGGUGUAGCGGUGGAAUGCGCAGAUAUCAGGAGGAACACCGGUGGCGAAGGCGGUUCUCUGGGCCUGUACUGACGCUGAGGAACGAAAGCGUGGGGAGCGAACAGG
Molecule: ribosomal RNA, 253 nt
Filed under: uncultured bacterium
Lineage: Bacteria
Description: partial 16S ribosomal RNA
Rfam family: Bacterial small subunit ribosomal RNA
Source: RNAcentral